Long non-coding RNA from Pyrgilauda ruficollis (rufous-necked snowfinch), 1130 nucleotides. RefSeq lists it as uncharacterized. NCBI's taxonomy places the organism in Eukaryota, Metazoa, Chordata, Aves, Passeriformes, Passeridae. The record is from RefSeq and is a predicted model, not a curated record. The transcript has 3 exons.
UAAUUAUUUGUUUUUAUUUAUUUGUGCGUGUGGUUUUUACUUUAUUAAACUGUCUUUAUCUCAGCUCAUGAGUUUUCCAGCUCUUAGCGUUCCAUUCUCACCCUAAUCCUGCUGGUGGAGGAACGAGCGAGUGGCUGCCUGGGGCUUGGUUGCUGGCUGGGGUGAAAUGACCACAACUUUCAAGCCUAAUCAGCAGGAAAGGAGACCUCACCAGUGAAACAGGCAGCUUUUUAAUAUAUAUAUAUAUAUUUAUAUGUGUGUGUGUGUGUGUGUGUGUGUGUGUGUGUGUGUGUGUAAAAAUAAGUGUCUUUCUUUUAACCAUCAGGAUUUUUCAUGCCGAGAAUAUGGCAUUCAGGAGAUAAUGAGUCCUGUCCACUUCAGCACCUGGAUCAGUUUUGCAGCUUGCAAAUUUCCAGCACCUAGAACAGCAUUUUUUCCCUCCCUAUUAACAGUAGUUUUUCUACCAGUAUGAAAAUUCUGAUAAGAGUGAGUGCUACCCUCUAAGACAUGCUAAAAAUAAAAAGUACACUUGGCUUAACUUUUCACAAUUUUAUUAAUCUUCAUAAGCAGGCACUGAAGAGUGUACAAGGAUAAAUAACCUCUGGUUUGUACACAUUCCCAAGUGUUGUCAACUUCCCUGUCUCUCCCAGCGAUCCUCUCAGUUCUAGACAGCAGGACAGGGAUCUGGCCAGUGGGUCUGGCUCCAGCUCACACCUGGGGGAGGAGUUGGCUGUGGUUGUUGAAGCUGCUUGGCUGGAAGUUCAACACCCUCAGCUUUCCCAUCUGAAACUGCCAGAGAGCUACAAUGGAGCAGGAGAGCUCUGGAUCAGAAUGUUUAACAGAAGCAUCUGCCAGGUGGAUCCCAAUGCUGCUGAAGGACAGUGCAGAGGCUGACCAAGGCACCCGUGACUGCAGCUCCAGCAGUACGUUCCUGAACCCACACAGAAAAGGUGUUUUGCUGGCCUGGAGACUGGCUCCUGUUCCUCUUGGCCUUGAAAGAAGGGCUUAACAUGCCAAGCUCAUUCAUUCUGGAAUAAAUACGUGUUCAACGCGAGGAACGUCCUUCCGAUGGUGCGACACGACGCACAAGUAGAUGAGGAAGAGGAGACACAGCAGCGCCGUAGCUGUGA